Labeo rohita (rohu) is the source of this 958-nucleotide long non-coding RNA. RefSeq lists it as uncharacterized. The record is from RefSeq and is a predicted model, not a curated record. Lineage: Eukaryota; Metazoa; Chordata; Actinopteri; Cypriniformes; Cyprinidae. The transcript is spliced from 3 exons.
UUGUGCGGAAUUCGGUCCAUUUCACAGGCUGACAGUUUACAGCUUUUCAACAGAACAGUGUCCUUUUGUAGUUGUCAAAAGUUAAGCUGAAGCAUUUUGGAUUUUAUUAUAUGAUCAUUUUAAGCUACUGCAUGAUCCUUCUGGGUUUAAAAUGCUUUUUCUAACCAGCUAUCGAUCUUCUGAGGGAGAGAAUGUGUGCCGCACACCCUCCCAGACACAAAGCUCGAAUCUUGACUCGACCCUGGUUUGACCCUAAAGAUUGCGGUCCUAAUUGUCCCUCAUCUCUUGGGACCCCCAGUGGGAAGAGGGGGAUGAGGGUGAGCGGUCAGGAACAGACGUGCUUGAAUCAGCAUUCCCCCCCAUUCCUCCCUCCCUCCCUCCUGUUAGAGAUGAGUGGACUCUGCCCCGCUGAACCUCACGCUCGCUUGAUCUGCUCUUCACAGGAAUCACACGUUUCGCCCUCUUCUUCAUCCUGAUUGCACUCCUCCUGCUGCUUUUCUCUCUCAUGCCUCAGUGACCCCGAGGCCCCAGAGGGCCAAAGUCAAUCAAGUUUCACUGUGGUGAUUUGCAAAGCGUAAGUGAGGGAUCUUUGCUGUCUGAUUCUUUCAUCUCCUCAAAGUUCCUCACUACAUCCUCAAGGAAAUUCACCACAGUCUUCAGAUCCUCACUGCUGCUCAAUAUGGCCUCUUCUAGCUGUCCCUUCAGCCUGGUCAGCGUCUCGUUGAGCACCACGAAACCAUCUUCAGGUGCCGCAUUAUCCCCAGCUUCCUCCCCUGCAGCACCAUCGACCCCAGCAACCAAAGACACGCCCUUAUCGCUAAGGUAGUGAACCAGGAAGCCCUGUAGCACUGGUCUGGAUUGGUCAGUCAGUGAUGACCUCAGUGCAGGAAGGUCAUCAGGCUGACAUAAGGACAGAAGGUGCAGGAGAGCAUGGCAGAGCUGUGAGCGUAAGCUAGCA